Molecule: non-coding RNA, 1281 nt
Organism: Marmota flaviventris (yellow-bellied marmot)
Lineage: Eukaryota; Metazoa; Chordata; Mammalia; Rodentia; Sciuridae
Source: RefSeq, a predicted model, not a curated record
GAUGUCCUACAGAAAUAAACGUUUAAAAUGCAAAGUGUUAAUUAUCUGGGACGGGGUCAUUCAUUAUAACAUUCGGAUUAAUAAACACGAAAACUUUCCAACUCAGUAAAAUAAACCACCUCUGUACUCUGUCAAAAAAAAAAAAAAGAAAAGAAAAGAAAGAAAAAAAAAAAAAACGGGAAAAAGGCUAAUGCAGUCUCUUGAGGGUACCAGCCUUGUGUUGUUCCCCUUGGAACAAGAAGGAACAUGCACUUUCUUGAUGUCACUGUGCAAUGGCACGGGGAUCCCUCCUCACAGUGUUGAGAACAUCAAGCCUGGCGAUACAAAGAGGUUGCGAAGCCAAGUUUCCUCAAAAAUUCUGAGUGUGAGAAUGUUCCCAGCAGUGUUUUCAAGACAACAUUGCCACAUCCAUGGACAGCAACAUGUAGGCCUACAUUUGUCUUUCAAAUGCUGUACGUGUGGUUUUCAUGAGGAGAUCCUUGAUGCAUUUUAAGUGAAUUUUUGCAUAGGCUCCACCAAAUAACAGCUUUGCAAACAUAAGCGUUCUUGGUGCUUGUCUUUAGCAGAUCGGCUGCACUGCAAGUUCUUCCAAUUCUUCUCUGCCCUUCUCUUCAGACCACCCUAGCCUCCAGACAAUUAGGCCUGCCUGCAAACAACUGGACACACUUCUGAUGCUGCCCUAUGCCACCCAAAACUGACAUGUCCUUUGGGCUCCACCUGGGGGCUAAGGGAUCCCAGCACAACAGCAUGGUGACUUCACAUAAGGGACUGCUAUAUCUUGCUCCAAGGGACCUGAACAAGGAAACAGUAUCCACAAAGGCCUGCAUUACCCUUUGCAGAGUGUCCCUCAGGUGAAGUCCACACAGUUGAGCAACGAGGCCCCGCCCCACGACUUCCUGUGAGAGCAAUUCCUGGCUGCUGCUAGUCAGCUCUGGGCCCCCUGCUCUGCAGGUUCUAUGGUGAGGGAGCGCCACUGCCCAGGUCUCCCUCAGGGCCCUAGGAGAAGGCAAGGAGGCCCAGAUGGCAGCCCAAGGAUCUUCCAACUCCCUGCCUGUCCGAUCUGCCCAACAGCAAGGCCUCCUGGGAAGGAGGCAUGAAUGGCGCUGGGUGUCUUGAAACUGUUUCCGCACGAUGGCAGUAGAGCUGCAGACGUGGUUACCAGGACUCAUCCUGGGAGCCCUUCUCCCGCCCUUCCUGUCUGAAAAAACGCUGCCCAGAGAAAAAGGCUAAGGAAACCUGGCUCCCUUGUCUUUUGCCCUCAGAGAAGGAACAAGCUAUCCA